This is a non-coding RNA of Arachis ipaensis, 1478 nucleotides long. Lineage: Eukaryota; Viridiplantae; Streptophyta; Magnoliopsida; Fabales; Fabaceae. The record is from RefSeq and is a predicted model, not a curated record.
CCCUCCCCCAAGUAGAUAACCUAGCCAGCCGCCACUCUCUCCACUCCACAGCGCCAAAACUCCUCCUCCUACCCUCCUCUGUCCUCUCUGCAUCUGACUCGCCGGACAGCACCGUCACGGCGGCCCUUCCGCAUCGCGCUCCCUCUUCUCGGCGCGGUCCUUUCUCUCCCUCCCUUCCUCGUCACGCUUCCUUCUCGUCGUCGCACACUAACCCUCAGUCAGAGUGCGAGCCUAGACCCCAGAGCUCCCCUCCCUUUCCCCUGCACAGUGCCGUCUCCGAUGUUGCAGCGUCGUAAUCGUCCUCCACUACUCUGCCAUACGUCGCAAUCCAGUCCAGGAGUGUCGUCGUCCUUCUCAAUCUAGUCUCGUCCCCUCCGUAGCAGCCGCCGACCCACCGUGUCUCACUGUCCAGCAUCUCCGUCUUCUAUAGUAGGAUUUUUUAAUUCUGAUGAUUUUGAGUUUCAACUUAUGUUUAUGAUUCUGAAUUUUUAUUUCUAUUUUGAUUUUGAUGAUUCUGGUAUUCAAAUUCUGUGUUUAGGGUUCUGAUUUUUUAUUGUAUUUUUUAUUGUAUUUGUAUUGUGUUCAGUGUAUUUUGAAAUUGCUAAUUGUUGUGAUUGUUGUAUUUGUUUAUGCAGUUUGUUGUAUUUGGGGAUUUUAGCUUAUGAAUGUGUAUUAUUUCUAAUUGUUAGGGUUCUAGGUUCUGAUUGUUAAAGAAGGUGUGUUUUUUAUUGUUAGGGUUCUAGGUUCUAAUUGUUGUAUUUGGGGAUUUUAGCUUAUGAAUGUGUAUAUUUAUUUGAUUAAGGAAAUUGCUUCUGAUUGUUCAAUACUUCAAUGUAUCUGUUUAGGAAAAUUGGUUCUGUGGUUCACUGUUCAAUUUAUUUGUUUAGGAAAAUAAUUUCUGAUUGUUCAUAAUGUAUUUAUUCAUUGUUGGUGAGCAUGUUGAGAACUAUCCCAAUUGCUUGAAAUGUUUGGAUCUUUGUUUGCAGAUUUUAUGCAUUCAGUGAAAGAGUUCAUAUGAACAACUUUGGAGAACCUAUCAAACUGCAUGUAUUUUUAAUGUUUAGUGAAUCAUGAUGUUUAUUGUUUAUGUGCUAGAAAUAUCCUUUUUUACUUUCUUAUUGUUUAAAUCUGUAGAAAUUUACAGGAUACAAAAACAAAAAAGAGCAUAUAAAUGGUCAUGAAAGAGAUUUUGUGUUAUGAUGAUUGAUUGGUGCUGCGCCAGUUCCUCUUCCAAAUGAAUGUACCUCUUCCAAAUGAAUCUACAAGCAUUAGAUCUCCGACUGCAUUGCCUGCUGCGCCAGUCCUCGUAGAAAUACUGAAAAUUUAUAUUUAUUUUAUCUUGUGUUGACUACUAAACUUUUAAACUUCUUUAAUUAUUGUUUGUUAAUUUCUUUUAUCGUUGAAUUUUAUUGGAUUAAGACUUUGUUAGUUAUUGUGUAUUGUGUUUGUUGAUUUCAAUGUGAUGACUUUGUGAAAUA